Molecule: ribosomal RNA, 497 nt
Filed under: uncultured bacterium
Lineage: Bacteria
Description: partial 16S ribosomal RNA
Rfam family: Bacterial small subunit ribosomal RNA
Source: RNAcentral
GAUGAACGCUGGCGGCGUGCCUAAUACAUGCAAGUCGAGCGAACAGACGAGGAGCUUGCUCCUCUAACGUUAGCGGCGGACGGGUGAGUAACACGUGGAUAACCUACCUAUAAGACUGGGAUAACUUCGGGAAACCGGAGCUAAUACCGGAUAAUAUAUUGAACCGCAUGGUUCAAUAGUGAAAGACGGUUUUGCUGUCACUUAUAGAUGGAUCCGCGCCGCAUUAGCUAGUUGGUAAGGUAACAGCUUACCAAGGCAACGAUGCGUAGCCGACCUGAGAGGGUGAUCGGCCACACUGGAACUGAGACACGGUCCAGACUCCUACGGGAGGCAGCAGUAGGGGAUCUUCCGCAAUGGGCGAAAGCCUGACGGAGCAACGCCGCGUGAGUGAUGAAGGUCUUCGGAUCGUAAAACUCUGUUAUUAGGGAAGAACAAAUGUGUAAGUAACUAUGCACGUCUUGACGGUACCUAAUCAGAAAGCCACGGCUAACUACGUG